GGCGAACGGGUGAGUAACGCUUCGGAAUCUGCCCAAUGGUGGGGAAUAACCAGCCGAAAGGUUGGCUAAUACCGCAUGAGCCCUACGGGGGAAAGCGGGGGAUCGCAAGACCUCGCGCCGAUGGAUGAGCCGAAGCCGGAUUAGCUAGUUGGUAGGGUAACGGCCUACCAAGGCGACGAUCCGUAGCUGGUCUGAGAGGACGACCAGCCACACUGGGACUGAGACACGGCCCAGACUCCAUACGGGAGGCAGCAGUGGGGAAUAUUGGACAAUGGGGGAAACCCUGAUCCAGCGACGCCGCGUGUGUGAAGAAGGCCUGCGGGUUGUAAAGCACUUUUAGUGGGGAUGAAAAGCUCAGGGCUAACACCUCUGGGUCUUGACCUAACCCACAGAAAAAGCACCGGCUAACUCUGUGCCAGCAGCCGCGG
RNAcentral lists this ribosomal RNA (428 nucleotides) under uncultured bacterium. Its description in RNAcentral is "bacterial SSU rRNA". It matches the Rfam family "Bacterial small subunit ribosomal RNA", at positions 97 to 520 of the family's 1533-position model. The record is from RNAcentral.